AGGAUAAUAGUUAAAAUAAAUAACAUUUAAUUUGCUUUUAAAAAUUAUUAAAAAAAAAUUUAUCUUA
RNAcentral lists this transfer RNA (67 nucleotides) under Mollitrichosiphum tenuicorpus. Its description in RNAcentral is "tRNA-Ala". The record is from RNAcentral. Lineage: Eukaryota; Metazoa; Arthropoda; Insecta; Hemiptera; Aphididae.